RNAcentral lists this ribosomal RNA (477 nucleotides) under uncultured bacterium. RNAcentral's name for it is "partial 16S ribosomal RNA". It matches the Rfam family "Bacterial small subunit ribosomal RNA", at positions 30 to 507 of the family's 1533-position model. The record is from RNAcentral.
AUUGAACGCUGGCGGCAUGCCUUACACAUGCAAGUCGAACGGUAACAGGUUAAGCUGACGAGUGGCGAACGGGUGAGUAAUGUAUCGGAACGUGCCCAGUCGUGGGGGAUAACUGCUCGAAAGAGCAGCUAAUACCGCAUACGACCUGAGGGUGAAAGCGGGGGAUCGCAAGACCUCGCGCGAUUGGAGCGGCCGAUAUCAGAUUAGGUAGUUGGUGAGGUAAAGGCUCACCAAGCCGACGAUCUGUAGCUGGUCUGAGAGGACGACCCGCCACACUGGGACUGAGACACGGCCCAGACUCCUACGGGAGGCAGCAGUGGGGAAUUUUGGACAAUGGGCGCAAGCCUGAUCCAGCCAUGCCGCGUGCGGGAAGAAGGCCUUCGGGUUGUAAACCGCUUUUGUCAGGGAAGAAAAGGUUCUGGCUAAUACCUGGGACUCAUGACGGUACCUGAAGAAUAAGCACCGGCUAACUACGUG